UACGAAGGGGGCUAGCGUUGCUCGGAAUCACUGGGCGUAAAGGGUGCGUAGGCGGGUCUUUAAGUCGGGGGUGAAAUCCUGGAGCUCAACUCCAGAACUGCCUUCGAUACUGGCGAUCUUGAGUCCGGGAGAGGUGAGUGGAACUCCGAGUGUAGAGGUGAAAUUCGUAGAUAUUCGCAAGAACACCAGUGGCGAAGGCGGCUCACUGGCCCGGUACUGACGCUGAGGUGCGAAAGCGUGGGGAGCAAACAGG
This 253-nucleotide ribosomal RNA is filed under the name uncultured bacterium. Its description in RNAcentral is "partial 16S ribosomal RNA". It matches the Rfam family "Bacterial small subunit ribosomal RNA", at positions 524 to 776 of the family's 1533-position model. The record is from RNAcentral.